GUGGAUUAGAUACCCUGGUAGUCCACGCCGUAAACUAUGGACACUAGGUGUGGGGGGUAUCGACCCCCUCCGUGCCGAAGCUAACGCAAUAAGUGUCCCGCCUGGGGAGUACGGCCGCAAGGCUAAAACUCAAAGGAAUUGACGGGGGCCCGCACAAGCAGCGGAGCGUGCGGUUUAAUUCGUCGCAACGCGAAGAACCUUACCAAGGCUUGACAUGGUAGUGGUACCAAUUCGAAAGAUGCGGGACCCUUCGGGGAGCUAUCACAGGUGCUGCAUGGUCGUCGACAGCU
RNAcentral lists this ribosomal RNA (290 nucleotides) under uncultured bacterium. RNAcentral describes it as "partial 16S ribosomal RNA". It matches the Rfam family "Bacterial small subunit ribosomal RNA", at positions 773 to 1060 of the family's 1533-position model. The record is from RNAcentral.